UUCAUGCGGAUGAUAUGAAUACAUGAUAUUCAAUAGGUAUUCAAUGGUUCAAUCGAGAACCUCCAAGUGUGCUCUACGUGUCCAGUGGAGGUACAGCGAGAAUUGUGUGGGAUUACAACGUCGGAACUAGAACUGCAAUGUUUGAUCCAUAUUCACCAGAGUGGGCUCUGUAUAAUACAAGUGGAUUUAGAAUAGUUAUAGGCGUCGAGGAUGGUUACAAUGGAUGGAAGUUCGUUAUAAGCAAACAAUGUCCCCAAAACUGCGUAGUCGAGUCAGUAAAGAGUCCACUGCUACUCUUGUCAUCUCUAAUGUCACCAAAGCUGAUGAACGGCUAUAUGAAUGUAAUCUGCUGUUAUUAGCGGGAUCACCAAUAAGAAGUAAAGUACAACUGGUUGUUACGGAACGUCCUCGCUUUACUACUCCUGUUAAUAUAUUGACGCUUAUCAAUGAGGGAUGAAGUCUGUGCAUCCGAUGUUCAGCAGCAGCAGAUCCUAUGCCCAACGUAACGUGUGUACGAACUAUAAAGAAUCCAAAAAUUAUCAGUGAUGGAGUUGGUGAAGCAUUUCUCAGAUUCACCAACAUCACGAGACACCAACUUGGAACAUACGAGUGUCAGGCUACGAAUAAUCCAAACGAGGAUCCCGUUACAACGACGACCGAAAUCUCAGUAAAAUACCCUGUAGAACCAGCGAAUGUUUUCGUUUCUGACAUCAAAGCAACUUCUGCAGUGAUCAAUUGGGACAGUCCCGUUGAUGAUGGAGGGAGCCCUGUCAUAGAGUAUAAAGUCCAAAUCAACACAAUUCCACCGAGAGAGGUUAUCACCAAAACGACGUAUUGCUUAACCAAGGAUCUUAAGGAGAAUACAACAUAUAGUGUGAAGGUGUAUGCACGAAAUGCAGUUGGGUAUGGGAAGGCAGU
Actinia tenebrosa (Australian red waratah sea anemone) is the source of this 918-nucleotide long non-coding RNA. NCBI's taxonomy places the organism in Eukaryota, Metazoa, Cnidaria, Anthozoa, Actiniaria, Actiniidae. The record is from RefSeq and is a predicted model, not a curated record.